Molecule: long non-coding RNA, 662 nt
Filed under: Marmota monax (woodchuck)
Lineage: Eukaryota; Metazoa; Chordata; Mammalia; Rodentia; Sciuridae
Source: RNAcentral
GUUUUACCUCUGGGCUACAUCCCCAUCCCUAUUUAUUUUUUAUUUUGAGACAGAGUCUCACUAAGUUUCUGAGGGCCUUACCAAGGUGCUGAACUUGUGAUCCUCCUAUCUCAGCUUCCUGAGUCAUUGGGAUUACACAUAUGUGCCACUGUACCUAGUUACUUUUACUUUUGAGACAGUGUCUUACUAAGUUGCUGAGGUUGGCCCUGAACUUGGAAUCCUCCUGCCUCAGUCUUCUUAGUCACUGGAAUUAUAGAUGUGUGCCACCAUACCUGGUUUACGUUUAUUUUUUUUUAAUUAGUGCAUCAUAAUUAUACAUAAUAGUGGGGUUCGUUUUGCUGUAUUUAAAUGUGCACAUAACAUAAUUCGUUCAGUCUCUUAUUCUCCACAUUUCAAACUCUGUUAGUGAAAUAGGCUUCUGUUCAUCAGUUUAGGAAUAUAAACAUGAUAUAGUUAAGAACUUCGUUUUCAUUUAUUAAUUUGUUUGUUUUAUUUAUUUUUUCCUGUAUUGGGGAUUAAACUCAGGGCCUUGUAUAUGCUAGGCAUGUGCUGUACCACUGAGCUACAUUCCAAGCCCUAGAACUGAGUUUUUAUAAGAACUCUUUGUGUGUAUAUUUAUGUGAAACUGUACAUGAAGAUGGAGUCAUUCUGAUUUUCUCAUU